AUCACCCAGGGAGGAUUUUGCAUCCAGGACUUUGUCCAGAAACAGCUUCAAGUUCUAGGAGCCAUUGGCUAGGGUUUCUGUCACCCUUCUGGUGCCCUCAACUCACCCAUUUCCUCUUCAGUUCAAGAAAUCACUAUGUCCCUUGGACCUGAUCUCCUCAGUAAUAUCCAUAUCCUCACUAUUUGCUGUCCCUAGGUCGUGACACUGGCACGAUCACCUCCUCUUUAGUAGCUUCCUCCUAGUGGACCUCUCUGUCCUGAAGUCUGUCCCCCGCACUGUCCCCUCUAACACGGACGGUCUUCCUGAAGCCCGGCCCCAAGCUGUUACCUGCCUUGGCCAUCGGCUCACAGGACUCUGCCUGGAACACUCUCCCUCCUGUCUUCUGGGUUUGCGUCUAAUUAUCUCUGGUGUCACACCGUGGUCACCAUGUCCUCCCUCCUGUGCUCUUCCUCAGUAACAGGGUGUUAUGGUUUGAAUCUCAGAUGUUCCCCAAAGUCUCAUAUGUGUGGAACAUGACUGGCUCGGGGGGCACCAGCGUCCUCAGUGGACCUGUCGUCUUGUCCCAGGCUCCUUUCUGUCUGGGCUUCCUGGUCAUCAUGACAGGAGCAGUUUUCUUCCCCCAGGCCACUUCUGCCUUGGAGCCAGCUGACCGUGGACUGAACCCACUGGAAACCACUGUUGGAUCCUUGAAGGCAGAGACCAUGCCUGCCUUGUUUACUUGAUUCACCGCUCAGCUCAUAGAAAACACUCAAUUGUUGUCUGUGGAAGGAAGGAAGAGACCUGGCAUUUGGGAAAUUUGGUCAGCAGUACACACUCAUGUCACCUUGGCUAACCAGCUCCUCAGGGAUGGACAGUGGAACUUCAGAAGAGCUGCUUGGGACUCUCCUGUCCUCACCCAAACCAGGACAAUGCAGUUCUCAUUACCCGUGCUUCUGUGUCUCACCUGAUGCUCUCCAUGACACCAGGAAAAAGGAAGG
Molecule: long non-coding RNA, 977 nt
Organism: Fukomys damarensis (Damara mole-rat)
Lineage: Eukaryota; Metazoa; Chordata; Mammalia; Rodentia; Bathyergidae
Exons: 3
Source: RefSeq, a predicted model, not a curated record